RNAcentral lists this ribosomal RNA (274 nucleotides) under uncultured bacterium. Its description in RNAcentral is "partial 16S ribosomal RNA". It matches the Rfam family "Bacterial small subunit ribosomal RNA", at positions 523 to 796 of the family's 1533-position model. The record is from RNAcentral.
AUACGGAGGGUGCAAGCGUUAUUCGGAAUCACUGGGCGUAAAGGACGCGUAGGCGGGUUGGCAAGUCAGAUGUGAAAUCCUACAGCUUAACUGUAGAACUGCAUUUGAAACUGCUAACCUAGAGUAUGGGAGGGGGAGAUGGAAUUAGUGGUGUAGGGGAAAAAUCCGUAGAUAUCACUAGGAAUACCGAAAGCGAAGGCGAUCUCCUGGAACAUAACUGACGCUAAGGCGUGAAAGCGUGGGGAGCAAACAGGAUUAGAUACCCUUGUAGUCC